Callorhinus ursinus (northern fur seal) is the source of this 445-nucleotide long non-coding RNA. RefSeq lists it as uncharacterized. The record is from RefSeq and is a predicted model, not a curated record. Lineage: Eukaryota; Metazoa; Chordata; Mammalia; Carnivora; Otariidae.
UGCUCUGCUUCAUUUCUGGCCUUUGCCUGAAGAAGCAGUCCCCCUCUAAGAUGUUGUUUAGAUGUCUUUAGGCAGAGGAAAUAUAAAGCAAUGGAAGAACCAUGUGAUGAGUCUUACAGCUUCUACUGGAAGGGGAACGUAUCACUUGUUCUCACAUUUCCUUUGCUUAAUGUUAAAGAACUCUAAAAGCUACAGCAAUAAAUUGGAAUAUGUGGGGAAUGGAGACAAAUGAGGAGAACAAGGAGAGGAAAUAUAACUCAACCCCGCAGAGGAAAAUUUUCAAGAAAGAGGUUGUCAACAAAAUCAAAAUUAGCCGAAAUAUCCAGGGAGAAGAAAAUGGGAACGGGACAAGAACGGUCAAGAAGGGCGGCGGCGGCCAGAGCUCAGUCACGUGGUGACGCUCAGCUAAAGAGAGGCACCAAACGGAGUUCAGACCCCAGAAUGA